AGCCGAAACGCCCUCCUGGGCGUCGCCGGGAACCGCCCCACCCGGCCUGAUGAUGGCAGGGCAGA
Molecule: non-coding RNA, 65 nt
Filed under: Lachnospiraceae bacterium
Lineage: Bacteria; Bacillati; Bacillota; Clostridia; Lachnospirales; Lachnospiraceae
Source: RNAcentral